RNAcentral lists this ribosomal RNA (251 nucleotides) under uncultured prokaryote. RNAcentral describes it as "partial 16S rRNA". It matches the Rfam family "Bacterial small subunit ribosomal RNA", at positions 525 to 775 of the family's 1533-position model. The record is from RNAcentral.
ACGUAGGUGGCGAGCGUUGUCCGGAAUUACUGGGUGUAAAGGGUGCGUAGGCGGAUUUGCAAGUCAGGUGUGAAAACUAUCGGCUUAACCGGUAGCCUGCACUUGAAACUGUGAGUCUUGAGUGGUGAAGAGGUAAGCGGAAUUCCUAGUGUAGCGGUGAAAUGCGUAGAUAUUAGGAGGAACACCAGUGGCGAAGGCGGCUUACUGGGCACUAACUGACGCUGAGGCACGAAAGCAUGGGGAGCAAACAG